Molecule: long non-coding RNA, 2192 nt
Filed under: Nicotiana benthamiana
Lineage: Eukaryota; Viridiplantae; Streptophyta; Magnoliopsida; Solanales; Solanaceae
Description: long non-coding RNA (NBEN_LNC042419)
Source: RNAcentral
ACACCCAACCCAAACCCUAAACUCCUCUCCUCACUCUCUCCUCUCUACUGCCGUAAGGCGUCCACGACGGCGCCGCCCGCCGGAAUUCGCCACCGAUGGAGAAGCACCACCAACCAACCUUGAAUUAUCAUCUUAUACUCUCCCCAACCUCCUCUUUCCAUAUCUUCAAACCAAAUCCUCUCAUCAAACUCCACGAAUUUUAGAUCUAGGAAACCCUAGCCACCAUCUUUUUGUCCAAAUUCGUGAAGCUCCAGUCAUCUCCGCCCAAUGACAUAUAGAUCAAUAGAAAGAGCUCUACGAGAUGUAUAUUUUCAUGUCAAUUUCCAUCCCAAAACUCCAACAGAUGCCCGACGUUGCUGUCCGCCGUCGCCGCUGCCUGCUACGACCACCACUGCCUCAGACCUCCGCCACACCACUGCUCCUCUUUUCUUUAGCCUAGUUCGGACCCAAGAAUACUCGUUUUAUUUUAGUAUGACAUCGAUUUCAUUGAGCUUAGUGUCUACUAAAAUAGAAUGAGUGUUCUACGGUUGGACAACCAUUACUCUAGGUCCUCGGCAUCUGUCUUGUUGCUCGAUUUGACAUUGAAUCCCUCCUUAUGGUAAAACAUCAAUUUACUUUUCCUUUUUUUAUCUUUACUGAUUCUGUGUGCUUUUGUAAUUAGUAUUAGUUUUAAGGUUUAAUUUCUAUUCUUGUUAUUUUUAUUUGUGUGAAAAUGAGCUAGGGUAAUAGCGGUUUUCAAUUACAUGUUACUUUAUAAAUGUUAAUUUCAGUUCUUCGACCUACCUGGUCGAGUAUUUUGCUAUUGUCUGUUAGUUAUGAUUUUUGGUUCUUCGACCUAGUCGAUCGACUAUUUUUUGUGAAAUUGUUGAGUUUGAAUUUUCAGUUUUCCGACCUAGCCGGUCGACAGUUAAGUGUUUUAUACUAGUUUCAUGAAAAAAAAGAUUAGUUGAAUCAUUAACUUAGUUAGUCGUUUUGUUUAAUUGUUGAUAAUUUUUGUCUGAUAAUUUACUAAUGCACAUCCAAGUUGUAUUUUAUUCUGUGUUAAUUUGCAUAAAAUCACAUUACUUUAAUUCAGUUUGUUUGGAUGCUCAAUCUGGUUACAAUCAAAGUUUUAUUAUUGCUUUGUCUAUUUGUGAUUGGAUUAGAUUUUGUUAUUUAAGUUUUGUCGAUAAAAGCUGAAUCAAAAUAUGGUACAUAGUUGGUAGUUGUUACUAUUUGAAGCAUGCUAGAAAAAUGACUACUUUACUUUGUGUCUAAACUUGAUGAAAAAGAAAUGUCCUUUCUCCUAUUUGGAUAGUCUUUUUGACUGUAUUUAGUGAGAAAAAGUAAGUCCUUUGAACAGAUUUUUGGUAAACUGAAAUUUGUCCAAAAGUGCUUGCUUUUCCUACUUAAAGGGGUCUCCUCUCACUCUAUACAUAAUCUAUCACACAACUGCCAUAUUUUUUUUUACUCUCUAAAAAACACAACUUUGAAAGUAAAAAUCAACAGCUGAAACACCCUUUACUAAGAUGAAAUUGUUGUUCCAACACGAAUUGGUUGUUUGUUUUGUUGUUGUUCCACUGCUGUUUUCUGCUGCUUUUGUUCUUGAGCUUCCAUUCUUCAUUGUUAUAUUUAUUAUUCUGCAAUACAGGAAACUCUUGAACCUUUUGUACUGCAGAAUUUUCUAAGCAAUAGCUGAAGAUUUGAACCUGUUAGAUUGCUAGAAUAGAGUUGGAUUCAUUCUAUGAGUUUGCUUAAGCGCUUUAACGUUUUUAUGUAUGGCUCAAGCAUGUGAAUAUGUAAUUGAUAGCUAGAAGUACUAUUCUUCCCUAAAUGAAAUCGAAGCACUCUGUCUCGUCUAGUCAUAGAAAAGAUAAUGGACUAGCCAAUAUAUUUUAGGCAAAGUUUUAUAUUGUCUUUUUAAGCAUACACUAUUGUUAAGUAUUCUUAUAAUCAAAGUUCUAGUUAAUUUGGUUAGUUUAAGCAUGAUAUAAGAAGAGAUGUUUGAGGGUUGAUAUGUUUUGGCAUAGUUAAUGAAAUUCGACUUUCCGGUGUUGGAGUGAACUAAUUUGGUCUCCAAUUUUAAUUAACUUCUAUAGGUUAAUCAAGUAUACAAUCUUAGCGAGUAAAUAUGCAUUUUCUCUUUUAGCAGGUUAGUUGGGUAGUAAUUAUUUAUUAAGUAAAAUGAGAUCUAUCCAUGCAUUUAAUUUAUU